UAUUUUUAAAAACAUGGAAUUUAUAUAACAAGUGAAAAAUUCCUUAGCAAACUUAACUUUAAAUCAUCACAGUUGUGCAGAAUAAAAAAGCCAUGGAUCUACUUUUUUGUUGUAAAAAACUGUUGGUUAGAUUUGUUCUGUAAAUGGUCUAGCCUAAAAUAUUUAAAAGUUGUGACAUUUUGGGUAUUUUUGAUAGUAAAAAAACUGUUUUAAAAGGAUGUCCAAUUCUGCAUCAAGAACUUGUUAAAAUAGUGUCAAGUUAAUGCACGUCUGCCAAGCUUAACUGUGCCUUUUUAUCAUUCAGUUUAUCAUUUCAUUUAGGUCGUGCAGUUCACCAAAGUCUUUCUCCUUACCUAGACAGAUGUUAAAACCAAUAAGGUUGACCUGAAAGACAAUAAGGCAGAUGGCUGACUUCUUGCAUGGAAACAUUCAGUUAAUGAGCACAACAGAUGAAAAACUGGAAUUGAGCAGCUGGAAGCAUGAACUGUUUUCCAGGAAAAACCUGCCUUGAAAAGUGCUUUGUGAGCAUGUUGGAGUUGAGGAGGCAGCUGUGUGAUUUCACAAUUUGAUUCUAAUUGUGCUUUAACAGACCCAGCCCAGUCUUCUGCUACACGUUAUUUUUUUACCAAGGUUUACCAAAAGGUGAGAAAUUUUGGAAGAGAUUCCAGGAGCAGUUUCAUCUUGAUACAAGACAUUUUUUACAAUGUAAUUAAUCACUGGAACAGUCUCCUGAGGAAUGCGGUUGAUUCCCAUCAGAGUUUGCCUUCAUGAGCUUAUGGGAUACUUUAGGCACAUUUCAUCUCACUCUAGCACCGGUGGAAAAUGAAGUUAAAAGUUUUACUUAUUGUUAAGAGCAUGAUGGGAGAGACAAUGACCUUUCUCAAGCAGCAACUAAGCUCCUACAACUUGAUUGAGCCCUUCCAAGACAGAAAACAAAAUCUGAAUUAUUCCAGUCUCUUCAGAUAUAGAAGUUAAACAAAAUUUCUUGCAAAGCAAACUUGUUGAAGAAUCUCAAUAAAUCAGAGAUAUAUGUGGGACAAUAUGAAAAUCCAUCCUGUGGUACUGUAGGUAGAAAAUUAAUCUAUUUUAUGAUUUAAAAUUGCAUUGCGUAAUUUCAAUGGGAUAUUAAUUUUCCAAUAAAAUCCACCUUUAAAAGGCUGAUUUCCUAGCUGCAUGUUGCAGGAGGAUAUUGUAAAUUACUGGUUUCUUUUUCCUGUCAAACAUGCCACAGGAUGGACAUAUUACUGUGGAACUCAAGACUUACGGGUCUGUAUUUCUAUUUAUAGCUCUCUUAAAUGUAGAACUAGUUUUGUUGUUCACCAUAACUUGUUAGGUAAAACACUGGUUGGAUUUUCUUUACAGUAGAGGGCAUUCUUGGUGUGGAAAAAGAUGUAUCUAAAUGUAAAGGAUAAAUCAAACUCAGCAUAUAAGCAUCUGGUAAAAUUUCCUGUUGUUCAGUAAUUUGAAUAGCAUAUGCUGCUGUAAGAUUUGCAAUUAGGCUUGUACAUAAACAGUGUUGUUAAUAUUGUUUUAGCCCUGUGAGUAGACUGGGUAUUGAGUUUUCAUCAUGCUUCAUAGAAACUGCUUAGGCUGCUCUAGAAAGCUCUGCCUAUAUUUGCAAAAAAGUACAAUUUUUAAGUAUUCUGAUAGUUUCACAUAUUGAGAGAAACUUCUCAGCCAUUUCAUGCAUUCAUGGCUGGGCUUGGCUUUGUGGUUUUUUUCAUGUAAAAAUUGCUAGCAUUUCUGAGCUCAAAUCUUGUCACAGUAAGAUGUCUCUGCAUUUGAAAUUACAUGAGUGUAGGAAUUUAUUUUUCUGACAACCUCUGUUCUGCUUUUGUCAGUGGUAAAUUCCAGCUCAAGGAGAUGUCAAAUCAAAUUUUUAAUGAAGAGAGGUUUACCUAGGAAAAAAUAAUGAUAAUUAAUACCUCACAGAAAUUAAAAUUCAAACCCACAUAUGUGUAUGUAUUAAAAGAAAACCUUAUUAGAUAUCUACAAAUUAAAAGAGCAAUAAAGCUGC
This is a long non-coding RNA of Parus major (Great Tit), 2017 nucleotides long. RefSeq lists it as uncharacterized. The transcript is spliced from 5 exons. Lineage: Eukaryota; Metazoa; Chordata; Aves; Passeriformes; Paridae. The record is from RefSeq and is a predicted model, not a curated record.